Molecule: ribosomal RNA, 271 nt
Filed under: Methylorubrum zatmanii
Lineage: Bacteria; Pseudomonadati; Pseudomonadota; Alphaproteobacteria; Hyphomicrobiales; Methylobacteriaceae
Description: partial 16S ribosomal RNA
Rfam family: Bacterial small subunit ribosomal RNA
Source: RNAcentral
AGCUGGUCUGAAAGGAUGAUCACCCACGCUGGGACUGAGACACGGGCCACACUCCUACGGGAGGCAGAAGUGGGGAAUAUUGUACUAUGGGCGCAAGCCUGAUCCAGCCUUGCCGCGCGAGUGAUGAAGGGCUUCGGGUUGUACAGCUGUUUUAUCCGGGACGAUAAUGACUGUACCGGAAUUAUAAGCCCCGACUAACUUCGUGCCGGCAGUCGCGGUAAUACAAAGGGAGCUUUAGUUGCUCGGAAUCACCGGGCGUAAAGCGCCCGUA